RNAcentral lists this ribosomal RNA (594 nucleotides) under uncultured bacterium. RNAcentral's name for it is "bacterial SSU rRNA". It matches the Rfam family "Bacterial small subunit ribosomal RNA", at positions 8 to 597 of the family's 1533-position model. The record is from RNAcentral.
AGAGUUUGAUCCUGGCUCAGAUUGAACGCUGGCGGCAUGCCUUACACAUGCAAGUCGAACGGCAGCACGGGAGCAAUCCUGGUGGCGAGUGGCGAACGGGUGAGGAAUACAUCGGAAUCUACCUUGUCGUGGGGGAUAACGUAGGGAAACUUACGCUAAUACCGCAUACGAACCAUGGUUGAAAGCGGCGGACCGCAAGGCGUCGCGCGAUUGGAUGAGCCGAUGUCCGAUUAGCUAGUUGGCGGGGUAAAGGCCCACCAAGGCGACGAUCGGUAGCUGGUCUGAGAGGAUGAUCAGCCACACUGGAACUGAGACACGGUCCAGACUCCUACGGGAGGCAGCAGUGGGGAAUAUUGGACAAUGGGGGCAACCCUGAUCCAGCCAUGCCGCGUGUGUGAAGAAGGCCUUCGGGUUGUAAAGCACUUUUGUUGGGGAAGAAAAGCACUGGGCUAAUACCUUGGUGUCAUGACGGUACCCAAAGAAUAAGCACCGGCUAACUUCGUGCCAGCAGCCGCGGUAAUACGAAGGGUGCAAGCGUUACUCGGAAUUACUGGGCGUAAAGCGUGCGUAGGCGGUUUGUUAAGUCUGUCGUGA